This is a long non-coding RNA of Monodelphis domestica (gray short-tailed opossum), 1196 nucleotides long. RefSeq lists it as uncharacterized. NCBI's taxonomy places the organism in Eukaryota, Metazoa, Chordata, Mammalia, Didelphimorphia, Didelphidae. The record is from RefSeq and is a predicted model, not a curated record.
GAAAAAUGAGGCAUUGUUAUGUGACUAAUCUGUGACCAUACAGCUCAUGUGGAAGAUGAAGCUACAGCUGUAGAACUUCUAGUCCUCAGUGCCAUUUCAACUAUAAUAUAGAUUAAGAUUAAUUUCCGGAUUAGAUAUAACUAUGUAUAUUAGAUUGACUUUAGAGGCUCAAAAAUGCAGAACCGUUUAUUUUUCUUCUUUGACAAAUGGUAAAAACAUUCAUAACUCAAUUGUAUAUGUCUCUCUCCAAAAUUACUGGCUGGACAGGUUUUAUGAUUGGUUGACAGAAGGGAGCAAGUUGUAUGACUGGAGAAAAUAUUAUAAAAUGAAGUAAUUAAAGGAUUAGAAAGCAAGAUCUGUGGGAAAACCAUUUAAAGGUGCCGAAUAUAUUAAUAGACUAAAUAAUCAGAAGAAACGCAUUCCAUUCCAAGAAGCCUAUGUGUUGGUGCACAGAGGGAUGGCAUUUAUCUUAGAGAGAGAAGGAUCUAUAGGACGUGAACAGACAGGCAUGUUCUCUACAUGGAAACAUCACCUUAUUUCACAGGCUUCCUCUCCAUAGGAUUUGGGGGUGCUUCCUAGACACUGGAAACAACAAAUUCUCCAGAAAUCCAAUGACCGCUCCAAAGAGGAAGGCUGGGUUUCACAAUGGCGUUGACGGAUAAACCCGAACUGUAUCUCAGAUCAUACAGCGUUCUAUUCAGAGAGCAGAGCCAUGUGGCCACAAUUCACCACUCAUUUUAGGCAAGAUUCAUUUCAAGAAGACCAUGAAAGGUCACCCCUCUUAGAGUCUGAUAUUCUGUGUUUGAAUCCUGCUGCUUCCUUCUGGUAUGCAAGUUGAUCCCCGAAUCUCAAGUUUUUUCACCAGUGAAAUUGUGCUGCUGAUGCUCAUCUCACAGUAAUGGAAAGAUUCAAAGAGCUAACAUAUGUGAAUGUGUUUUUAUUGAAAGUUAUGUUGACUCUGUGACCCAUUGUUCCCAGAGCUGUUGUCAGUGUUGGCGAAGACAGCUUUUUUCAUUAUCUACUUUGUCGUGUAUCCUGCCAGUGAUAUUUGUGCCCCUACCAGCAAAUUGUCAGGUACUCGUACGUUGGAGAGGAACUCACGAUGGAAGGAGCCAACCCCGUUACUGACAUGUAACCAUCUGAAUUGUCCUUAUUUCAUGAUGAAAGUUAUCAAUAAAAGCUGCCUCAUCUUGAAA